This 391-nucleotide unclassified non-coding RNA is filed under the name soil metagenome. Its description in RNAcentral is "partial contains 5.8S ribosomal RNA, internal transcribed spacer 2, and large subunit ribosomal RNA". The stretch from base 1 to 122 matches the Rfam family "5.8S ribosomal RNA", at positions 35 to 154 of the family's 154-position model. The record is from RNAcentral.
GAUGAAGAACGUAGCGAAAUGCGAUACUUGGUGUGAAUUGCAGAAUCCCGUGAACCAUCGAGUCUUUGAACGCAAGUUGCGCCCGAAGCCAUUAGGCCGAGGGCACGCCUGCCUGGGCGUCACACGUCGUUGCCCCCCCACCUACUCCUUCGGGAUUGCGGGGGGCGGAUGAUGGCCUCCCGUGCGCCUCGUCGCGCGGUUGGCAUAAAUGCCAAGUCCUCGGCGACGCACGCCACGACAAUCGGUGGUUGCGAAACCUCGGUUGCCCGUCGUGUGCGGUCGUCGCGCAUCGAGGGCUCGAAAAAAUUGCCGGGCUCCGGCUCGGCUUUCAACGCGACCCCAGGUCAGGCGGGGUUACCCGCUGAAUUUAAGCAUAUCAAUAAGCGGAGGA